This 253-nucleotide ribosomal RNA is filed under the name uncultured bacterium. Its description in RNAcentral is "partial 16S ribosomal RNA". It matches the Rfam family "Bacterial small subunit ribosomal RNA", at positions 524 to 776 of the family's 1533-position model. The record is from RNAcentral.
UACGUAGGGUGCGAGCGUUGUCCGGAAUUAUUGGGCGUAAAGGGCUCGUAGGCGGUCUGUCACGUCGGGAGUGAAAACUCAGGGCUCAACCCUGAGCCUGCUUCCGAUACGGGCAGACUAGAGGUAUGCAGGGGAGAACGGAAUUCCUGGUGUAGCGGUGAAAUGCGCAGAUAUCAGGAGGAACACCGGUGGCGAAGGCGGUUCUCUGGGCAUUACCUGACGCUGAGGAGCGAAAGUGUGGGGAGCAAACAGG